CGACCGGCGGACGGGUGCGUAACGCGUAUGUAACCUACCUUUGACAGGGGGAUAACAUCGAGAAAUUGGUACUAAUACCCCAUAACAUCACCGGAGGCAUCUUCGGUGGUUGAAAACUCAGGUGGUCAGAGAUGGACAUGCGUUGUAUUAGCUAGUUGGUGAGGUAACGGCUCACCAAGGCGACGAUACAUAGGGGGACUGAGAGGUCAACCCCCCACAUUGGUACUGAGACACGGACCAAGCUCCUACGGAAGGCAGCAG
This 261-nucleotide ribosomal RNA is filed under the name uncultured bacterium. Its description in RNAcentral is "partial 16S ribosomal RNA". It matches the Rfam family "Bacterial small subunit ribosomal RNA", at positions 92 to 354 of the family's 1533-position model. The record is from RNAcentral.